UUUCGCAAUGCCCGAAAGGGUGACGAAGCGACGCCGCGUGUGGGAAGAAGGCCUUCGGGUUGUAAACCACUGUCGGGAGUUAAGAAAUGUAAGGGUGUUAAUAGCAUCCUUGCUUGACUAAGGCUCCGGAGGAAGCCACGGCUAACUCUGUGCCAGCAGCCGCGGUAAUACAGAGGCGGCAAGCGUUGUUCGGAAUUAUUGGGCGUAAAGAGCACGUAGGCGGCCUUGUAAGUCAGUUGUGAAAGCCUUCUGCUUAACGGAAGAACAGCAGCUGAUACUGCAAGGCUAGAGUGCGGAAGGGGAGAGUGGAACUUCUGGUGGAGCGGUGAAAUGCGUAGAUAUCAGAAGGAACACCGGCGGCGAAGGCGACUCUCUGGUCCGUAACUGACGCUGAGUGUGCGAAAGCUAGGGGAGCAAACGGGAUUAGAUACCCCGGUAGUCCUAGCCGUAAACGAUGGGCACUAAGUAGAGGGGUUUUA
This 479-nucleotide ribosomal RNA is filed under the name uncultured bacterium. RNAcentral describes it as "bacterial SSU rRNA". It matches the Rfam family "Bacterial small subunit ribosomal RNA", at positions 364 to 833 of the family's 1533-position model. The record is from RNAcentral.